AAAUUAAGAUAAACUCCGAAUGCCAAUCACGUAUGUCCGGGAGUCAGACAGUGAGUGAUAAGAUCCAUUGUCGAAAGGGGAACAGCCCAGAUCGUCAGUUAAAGAUCGGAAGAGCGUCGUGUAGGGAAAGAGUGUAGAUCUCGGUGGUCGCCGUAUCAUUAAAAAAAAAAACUUCCUAUCUAAGACUUUCCGACAUUCGGACGUCCAAUCAAUACGAAACGGUAUGAAUCACCUCCUUCAACUUCGUCAACUUCAGCAUCAGUGAACGUUGUAUCAACAGCAUGACGAGUUGUUCAAGCAAUGUCAGAAACUUUUUUUUUUCAAGCAGAAGACRUCAWRCGUGUUSGRGRURGRKCACUGUKWKKKYGSRSGKGURYYYWKGGGAACYAAAUUAAGAUAAACUCCGAAUGCCAAUCACGUAUGUCCGGGAGUCAGACAGUGAGUGAUAAGAUCCAUUGUCGAAAGGGGAACAGCCCAGAUCGUCAGUUAAGGUCCCUAAGUGUGUGUUAAGUGGAAAAGGAAGUGGAGUUGCAUAGACAACUAGGAUGUUGGCUCAGAAGCAGCCACCAUUUAAAGAGUGCGUAAUAGCUCACUAGUCGAGUGAUUCUGCACCGAAAAUGUACCGGGGCUAAACACACCACCGAAACUACGGGUGCCACGUAAGUGGCGCGAUAGGAGAGCGUUCUAUGGGCGAUGAAGUCAGACCGUGAGGACUGGUGGAGCGCAUAGAAGUGAGAAUGCCGGUAUGAGUAGCGAAAGACAGGUGAGAAUCCUGUCCACCGUAUGACUAAGGUUUCCUGGGGAAGGCUCGUCCUCCCAGGGUUAGUCGGGACCUAAGGCGAGGCUGAGAAGCGUAGUCGAUGGAUAACAGGUUGAGAUUCCUGUACCAGGUGAACAUGUUUGAACGAUGGAGGGACGCAGAAGGCUAACGGAUCCCAGCUGAUGGAUAUGCUGGGUUAAAUAACAAGUCUUGAGUUGAGUUAAAUGCUUGACUCUUUAAGGACAAGUUAUGAUGAGGACCGAAAUAAAGUAGGGAAGUCCGCCAUGUCACGCUGCCAAGAAAAGCUUCUAGUUAGUGUUUACCUGCCCGUACCGCAAACCAACACAGGUAGUCGAGGAGAGCAUCCUAAGGUGAGCGAGUGAACUCUCGUUAAGGAACUCGGCAAAAUGACCCCGUAACUUCGGGAGAAGGGGUGCUCAGCGAAAGCUGAGCCGCAGUGAAUAGGCCCAGGCGACUGUUUAUCAAAAACACAGGUUUCUGCAAAAUCGUAAGAUGACGUAUAGGGGCUGACGCCUGCCCGGUGCUGGAAGGUUAAAAGGAGUGCUUAGCGCAAGCGAAGGUAUGAAUUGAAGCCCCAGUAAACGGCGGCCGUAACUAUAACGGUCCUAAGGUAGCGAAAUUCCUUGUCGGGUAAGUUCCGACCCGCACGAAAGGCGUAACGAUCUGGGCACUGUCUCAACGAGAGACUCGGUGAAAUUUAAAGACCCGUGAAGAUGCGGGUUACCCGCGACAGGACGGAAAGACCCCAUGGAGCUUUACUGUAGCUUGAUAUUGAGUGUUUGUGCAGCUUGUACAGCAUAGGUAGGAGCCGUUGAAGUCGGAACGCUAGUUUCGAUGGAGGCACAGGUGGGAUACUACCCUCGUUGUAUGACCACUCUAACUCACACCACUAAGCGUGGUGGAAGACAGUGUCUGGCAGGCAGUUUGACUGGGGCGGUCGCCUCCUAAAAGGUAACGGAGGCGCCCAAAGGUUCUCUCAGAAUGGUUGGAAAUCAUUCGCAGAGUGUAAAGGCACAAGAGAGCUUGACUGUGAGACUGACUAGUCGAGCAGGUACGAAAGUAGGGCUUAGUGAUCCGGUGGUUCCGCAUGGAAGGGCCAUCGCUCAACGGAUAAAAGCUACCCUGGGGAUAACAGGCUUAUCUCCCCCAAGAGUCCACAUCGACGGGGAGGUUUGGCACCUCGAUGUCGGCUCAUCGCAUCCUGGGGCUGUAGUCGGUCCCAAGGGUUGGGCUGUUCGCCCAUUAAAGCGGUACGCGAGCUGGGUUCAGAACGUCGUGAGACAGUUCGGUCCCUAUCCGUCGCGGGCGUAGGAAAUUUGAGAGGAGUUGCCCUUAGUACGAGAGGACCGGGGUGAACGUACCUCUGGUGUAUCAGUUGUUCCGCCAGGAGCAUCGCUGAGUAGCUAUGUACGGAUGAGAUAAACGCUGAAAGCAUCUAAGUGUGAAACUCGCCUCGAGAUGAGAUUUCCCAUUCUUUAUGAAGUAAGACCCCUUGUAGAUGACAAGGUAGAUAGGCUAGAAGUGGAAGUGCGGCGACGCAUGGAGCGGACUAGUACUAAUGGUUCGAGGACUUAACCAA
This 2360-nucleotide ribosomal RNA is filed under the name Weissella viridescens. RNAcentral describes it as "bacterial LSU rRNA". Lineage: Bacteria; Bacillati; Bacillota; Bacilli; Lactobacillales; Lactobacillaceae. The record is from RNAcentral.